GAGCUUGCUCUGAUGUGAUUUUAUCUGACAAAGAGUGGCGAACGGGUGAGUAACACGUGGGUAACCUACCUCUUAGCAGGGGAUAACAUUUGGAAACAAGUGCUAAUACCGUAUAAUACCAACAACCGCAUGGUUGUUGGUUGAAAGAUGGUUCUGCUAUCACUAAGAGAUGGACCCGCGGUGCAUUAGCUAGUUGGUAAGGUAACGGCUUACCAAGGCAAUGAUGCAUAGCCGAGUUGAGAGACUGAUCGGCCACAAUGGGACUGAGACACGGCCCAUACUCCUACGGGAGGCAGCAGUAGGGAAUCUUCCACAAUGGGCGCAAGCCUGAUGGAGCAACGCCGCGUGUGUGAUGAAGGGUUUCGGCUCGUAAAACACUGUUAUAAGAGAAGAACGGCACUGAGAGUAACUGUUCAGUGUGUGACGGUAUCUUACCAGAAAGGAACGGCUAAAUACGUGCCAGCAGCCGCGGUAAUACGUAUGUUCCAAGCGUUAUCCGGAUUUAUUGGGCGUAAAGCGAGCGCAGACGGUUAUUUAAGUCUGAAGUGAAAGCCCUCAGCUCAACUGAGGAAUGGCUUUGGAAACUGGAUGCCUUGAGUGC
Molecule: ribosomal RNA, 601 nt
Filed under: Weissella paramesenteroides
Lineage: Bacteria; Bacillati; Bacillota; Bacilli; Lactobacillales; Lactobacillaceae
Description: bacterial SSU rRNA
Rfam family: Bacterial small subunit ribosomal RNA
Source: RNAcentral